Molecule: ribosomal RNA, 466 nt
Filed under: uncultured bacterium
Lineage: Bacteria
Description: partial 16S ribosomal RNA
Rfam family: Bacterial small subunit ribosomal RNA
Source: RNAcentral
GAUGAACGCUGGCGGCGUGCUUAACACAUGCGAGUCGAACGAUGAAGCCCAGCUUGCUGGGUGGAUUAGUGGCGAACGGGUGAGUAACACGUGAGUAACCUGCCCUUGACUCUGGGAUAAGCGCUGGAAACGGCGUCUAGUACCGGAUACGAGCUUCCACCGCAUGGUGAGUUGCUGGAAAGAAUUUCGGUCAAGGAUGGACUCGCGGCCUAUCAGGUAGUUGGUGAGGUAACGGCUCACCAAGCCGACGACGGGUAGCCGGCCUGAGAGGGUGACCGGCCACACUGGGACUGAGACACGGCCCAGACUCCUACGGGAGGCAGCAGUGGGGAAUAUUGCACAAUGGGCGCAAGCCUGAUGCAGCAACGCCGCGUGAGGGACGAAGGCCUUCGGGUCGUAAACCUCUUUUAGCAGGGAAGAAGCGAAAGUGACGGUACCUGCAGAAAAAGCACCGGCUAACUACGUG